This 324-nucleotide ribosomal RNA is filed under the name uncultured eukaryote. RNAcentral describes it as "partial 18S ribosomal RNA". It matches the Rfam family "Eukaryotic small subunit ribosomal RNA", at positions 1470 to 1796 of the family's 1831-position model. The record is from RNAcentral.
CCCUUAGAUGUCCUGGGCUGCACGCGCGCUACACUAAUGUGUCCAGUAAGCACCUAACCUCUUCCGAAAGGAACGGGUAACCUUUGCAAAGCACAUCGUGAUGGGGAUAGAUUAUUGCAAUUAUUAGUCUUGAACGAGGAAUUCCUAGUAAGCACAAGUCAUCAGCUUGUGUUGAUUACGUCCCUGCCCUUUGUACACACCGCCCGUCGCUCCUACCGAUUGAAUGUUCCGGUGAGCUCUUCGGACUGCGCGGUCUGCAGUUUCUGCGUUCCGUGCGGAAAGUUGCGCAAACCUUAGCAUUUAGAGGAAGGAGAAGUCGUAACA